GGCUUCCGUGCCUGCAGAUGUCU
This 23-nucleotide microRNA is filed under the name Bos taurus (domestic cattle). RNAcentral's name for it is "bta-miR-2331-5p". Lineage: Eukaryota; Metazoa; Chordata; Mammalia; Artiodactyla; Bovidae. The record is from miRBase by way of RNAcentral.